Gallus gallus (chicken) is the source of this 2377-nucleotide long non-coding RNA. Lineage: Eukaryota; Metazoa; Chordata; Aves; Galliformes; Phasianidae. The record is from Ensembl.
CCACAGAGAUCCCUUCCAGCAGGUCAACCCUGACCUGUACUGAUAGGUCUGAUUACUCUUCUCCAGGUGUAGCAUUCUACACUUGAUACUGUUGAACCUCAUCAGGUUCCUCUCCACUCAGCUCUCCGGUCUGCCCAGGUCUAGCUGAAUGGCAGCACAGUCUUCAGGUGUGUCAGCCACUUCUCCUGGCUUUGUAUCAUCAGAAAACUUGCUGAGGAUGUACACUAUCCAUUGACCCAUGUCAUUCAUGAAGAUGCUGAACAAGAUCAGAUCCAAUACCAGAUCCAAUAUCCAAUGUUCCCUGUGGAACAUCACUAGUUACUGGCCUCCAACCAGACUCUGUGUUGCUGAUCACAACACUCUGAGCUCUGCCAGUCUGCCAGUUCUCAAUACGUCUCACUGUGCAACCAUUUAUCCCACACAUCCUAAGCUUACCUAUGAGGAUGUCCUGGGAGAUAGCAUCAAAAGACUUGCUGAAGUCAAGGUAGAUAGCAACCACUGUUCUCCCCUCACCUGACCAGCCAGUCAUAAUAUCCAUGAAGGCUACCAGGUUGGUCUAGCAUGACCAACUUGGGGAAUCUGUGCUGACUACUACUGAUAGCCUUCUUUGUUUCUAUUUGCUCAGAGAUGGCAUCCAGAACAAGUUGUUCUAUCACCUUUCCAGGGACAGAGGUGGACUGGUCUGGAGCUGCUUACAAGAGAUAUAAUGACUGGUGAGUCCCACCCUUCAGUUCUGGCAAGGUGGAACAUAAGUAAUGCUUGUCAAAUGAUGUGGCAUCCAGACGCUACAAUGCCAAGGCAAAGCAUAAACAUAUAAACAGAUGGGCAGAUCACUUAAUUUCUGUGGCCUCAAACAGCAACUGUUACCAUGCUGACUAUAUAUAGACUAAACAUGACCCUAGAUGAUGAUCAUUUAACAAUAGUUUUUCUCCAGCAACAACAAGGUGUCUGGAAGAAGUUCCUCUCCACCCCGGCAGCUUGCUCCUGCUUACUGUCACCAUUUCUCAGGAUGAGUGAUACAAGUGUCAGCUUUGCUUCUGACAUUAUCUCUAUCUCAAAUGAGUCUUUUCAAAUCGGAAAAAAAUACUUAAUCCUUAACCAAGACAAUUUCUGACACUUCCAGACAGCUUUAAGGCACAGCCUUGGGGUGUGGGCCUUGAGGGAUGGGCAGCAGGGCAGGAGGAAUGAGGAGGCUGGAGCUUCUCAGGCAGGCUUCAUCACUGGGGUAAUCACGUUGCUGAGUCAUCCCCUUUCUUAGUGAUGAGAAAAUACCAGAAGAUACUUAAUUGUAGGACAAGUUAUCCAGGCAUUGCCACUGCUUUAAUGACUGUAAUUAUAAUGGCACAUCACAACUCGAUACUGUAUCACAGCCACAUAGAGAUAGGUGUGAUGGCUGUGUGCUUUCCCAGCGUGCAGUACUGUGGGUUGGUCUGCCAUCUUAUUCUUCUGAUUUUCCAUAAUCCUUUGAGAUCUACUUUCUUGCUUUCUUACAGAAAAUUUUUGUUCCCCAGAGUAUUUAGGAAGGUGCCUAUUUCAGCUGUUUCACUUCUUUGUUCAGAGUUACACUGUCUAUUCCCCUUCAGUAUCUCUCGGUCUUGGUGUUUUUCCCAUAGCUGUCUUUCUGCUUUCAGAAUAUAUCAUCUCUGUUCAUGCUCUGCUGGAAUCACUUCUCUAUUCAAACAAAAAAUCUGUUUUUAGCCAUGUCUGUAAAUUUGAAAGCCUGCAGAGUAAACUGCCAAAUAUGAUGGGCAUAUCUUCUUUAUACCUAUGGAAAAAUUGAAUCUUCAGGUCAGGAUGUUGUUGAUCACCAUACAGGGCUAUACAUCAGUGCUGCGAUCACAUGUGCGAGGACUACUUCGGUGAGUGUGCACCCAAGUCCCCAGACCUGUGCAUGGCAUGAUUGGCCUAAGAGCACAGCUCAGCACCAACACAUUCUGGGCCCCUUGGUGAGAGAGGGGAUGCAGCCCCAGGAGGAGCAGCACUGACAGCCAGCAAUCAGCUCUCUUUAUGCAGUUCGUUGCUGUGGCUGAAGCUGUCGCCAAAAAGGGAAUCUUUCUGUACUUUCUCCUACUCUGUGUUCCUUGCACUACAUGUCACAUAAAUAAAAAUAAAUAAAUGAACAAACCAAAGCUUGAUUCUCCGUCCCACUGGUGAGGAUGGUUGAAGAACCUCAGUGCAGAGAGAGAGGAAUAUCAACGUUUGUCUCUGCCUGCUUUCUCAAACAGUGCUUGAACCACUGCACCCAGAACUCUUGGUGGAGGAAUUGUGUAUCUACUCAGAAUGUGAGAGGAAAUUCAGUUCUGUUCAGCAUAUCUACUGCCAAAGAGUCCUCCUGUUUUGCAGGAGAGUGCUCCUGUCUAAAUAAAGCUUUUGUAAA